Suncus etruscus (white-toothed pygmy shrew) is the source of this 107-nucleotide small nuclear RNA. NCBI's taxonomy places the organism in Eukaryota, Metazoa, Chordata, Mammalia, Eulipotyphla, Soricidae. The record is from RefSeq and is a predicted model, not a curated record.
GUGCUCACUUUGGUAGCACAUAUACUAAAAUUAGAAUGAUACAGAGAAGAUUAGCAUAGCCCCUACACAAGGAUGAUAUGCAAAUUUGUGAAGCAUUUCAUAUUUAA